GCUGUACACCGACGACUUUCGCCGAUAAUCCGUCUGCUCGUACUCGACCGUUCGCUGGAACUUUGUCUGACCUGAGGUACAUACUACGGUGUCAUCAAUUGCAUCUGUCAUCAAAGACUACUUAUUAAUUUUGUAUGUUCUUUAGUAUAUGCUCUUUAAGCUCUGAACAAGUCAAUGCCUGAAAUACCACAUGUAGUCAUUACAAGAUGAUCUUCGGGAAAGACAAUAAUUACAAGUAGCGAUUAAAGGAUAUAAAGCUAGCUAAAUUUUUAUCUAGGAAGAACAGCUGCUGUAUGACAGGAAAAAUUUAAGAAAAGAUAAACUAAUAUCAUGGUGAUGGCAUUAAUUGACUAUUUUGUAAGUAGCAAUCAAAGGUGAUAAAGGUAGCAAAUUUUUUAUCUAGGAAGAACAGCUGUUGUGACAGAAAUGAAAGCUAAAUAUACAAGUAUAUACUUGUUCGUGUCUAUCAAUUUAAUUUCAUGAGUAUUUCAAAUUCAUUCUUCUUACUUCUUCAGAUAAUACGGUAUAUGCUACUUUUGUUCAGGUAUAUACUUCUUUUUACCACUUUUACUUUUUCUCAGCGGAUUCAUGCAUGCUUCUCCUCAUAGGUUUCCCUUAGUUCAGUACUUAAUUUUUUUGGUGUAUACUUUCUCCUCGUCAGAGUAUACGUACAACAAGACAGAAAGAAACAUAUACUGUUGAUCGAUACUGAAAUAUCAUAUGGAAGAUAGCCCUCUCUUCUAUACCCCAUUGUGAAAAGUAGUAUACUAUCAAUUGAAAACACACCAUAUACUCCUUUCAGACAAUGAGUAUACACUGAUCGUUAUUGCCAGUAUCAUAGGUAUAUACUCUGAGAAUAGUUGUAUAUAUCCCAUUUGAAAAUAUAAAUAUGUAUAUACUCCUUGCAAACUACUCAUCAUUUAAACGUUUUUACAUAAGAUUGUCCGUCUGGAUACAAUAACUAAUUAGUAUUUUAAUAACUUAAAUUGCAUGGCUUGAUCGUCUGCUUGAGUCUUCUCUUAUGUAUGAGUGCACCAUGUGUGGGUUAAUUUUUUUUGGGUCUUCUAAUUCUCUGUGGUAAUUUGCAUCUAUAUUUGUGCUAAUUGGCAAGGUGCAUGAAUAAUGAUUUAUCUAAGUUUUUUGCUUAAUGGAAAGGCCUUUUCAGUUAAAAAACCCCUACUGAUUUGAUCAACAGAACAUGCGUCUGUUUUUAAAUAGCUGAAUUUCUACUUAUUUAAUUGACUAUUGUGGUGUCAAGAUCCAAUAGCCUUGCUAUUAGUUAAUGCUCUAUUUAUAUUUUCUUCCAACAAAACAAAUGUAUGUUUACAGCAAAAAAACUCGUCAUUUCCAGCAAAAACAAUGGCUCGCUGUCGCCAGGUCGCAGCAAAAGUUUUGGCCGGUCCCAUAAGAAAAUUAGUUCCAACAAAAAAAGAUUGUUGUCGCGGUCACAUGUACUAUACUCUACGCCUCCUGAAGAUGUGCAUUAAUGGUUGGCUGUUAUAAUACAUAUAUGUAAGAUUCCAUGUUAUACCAGCUUAGCAGAACUUCACGGAAAUUUGCUAGAGGUGUUGCAACAGCCUUGAUCAAAUAUUAUUUUCAUUAUUCCUUCUUGGUUUGAGACAAUAACAGUAGAUAAUCUUCAUCGAAAUUUGCUAGAGAAGUUCCAACAGCUUUGAUCAAAUAUUAUUUUUAUUAUUCCUUCUUGGUUUUAGACAAUGAAGUAGAGAAUCUAAAUACUUCUACUUUAUGUGUACUUGUAAUAGAGCAACGCUUGGUGCAGCUAGCUGCAACAGGGACCAACUUGACUUGAUGGGGAUACAAUCACCAAGAAAGAAUCAUACCUGAACUUACCUUUAUGCAUUGCACGAGCUACCAAUAUAUUGUAUCUUCCUGUAUGAUCCGUAACUCAUAGACACAUGAGUAGCGAUGGAUACUAUUUGGUAUGAACAACAUCAUCAUCUUGCAAUUCUAACAUGUAUUCAUUAACUUAUUUAUCCACAUAAUAGUGAUGCAUCUUACGUUUCUGUCUAUUGUAUCUGAAUCUAAAAUGCAAUUAACUCCUUAAUUUGCCUUCAACAGGAUUGAGCGAUCUGGCAUGUAAGCUUAGCUCGGUGGUUCAGAUUAUCACUGUUAGUCUUCUGCUCGUGGCAAUUUUUUAGACCUCUUGAGUUAUCUCAACGAAUCUGGUGUGAAGCUAUGAAGGGAUUUUUCUUGAAAACAAUACUGAAAGGAUACCUUAACUUCAUUUUAUCCCCUAGAUUAGUAUACGUAUAUUAAGUCCCCAUUUAUUUUAGAUGUAUAGCUUGCAUGACAGUUUUGUUUAAACAGAUUUUUUGGGCAUUUUGCAAUUCUCACAUAUGUUGUUACCCAUGCACUUACUUUUAUCAUUUCCAGUGUCAAUGUUUACAAAAUUGUUAAAUCUUUUUUUAUUGGAGUUCAGCCAUGUUUUCCACCAAGGAUUCAACUUGCAAGCAUCUGAAUCUUAUGUUGUCCGAUUCACUCUGCAUGUUAAUUCACAACUUGCAAGGUAAUUUAUAUAUUUAAAUUAAUCAUUUU
Molecule: long non-coding RNA, 2556 nt
Filed under: Triticum aestivum (bread wheat)
Lineage: Eukaryota; Viridiplantae; Streptophyta; Magnoliopsida; Poales; Poaceae
Description: long non-coding RNA (TAES_LNC013919)
Source: RNAcentral